AGAGUUUGAUCAUGGCUCAGGACGAACGCUGGCGGCGUGCCUAACACAUGCAAGUCGAACGAAGUCAAGAAGGAGCUUGCUUCAUCUUAACUUAGUGGCGGACGGGUGAGUAACGCGUGAGUAACCUGCCUUUCAGAGGGGGAUAACGUCUGGAAACGGACGAUAAUACCGCAUAACAUUUCGGAAUCACAUGGUUUUGAAAUCAAAGGAGCAAUCCGCUGAAAGAUGGACUCGCGUCCGAUUAGCUAGUUGGUGAGAUAAAAGCCCACCAAGGCGACGAUCGGUAGCCGGGUUGAGAGACUGAACGGCCACAUUGGGACUGAGACACGGCCCAGACUCCUACGGGAGGCAGCAGUGGGGGAUAUUGCACAAUGGAGGAAACUCUGAUGCAGCAACGCCGCGUGAGGGAAGACGGUUUUCGGAUUGUAAACCUCUGUCCUUAGGGAAGAUAAUGACGGUACCUAAGGAGGAAGCUCCGGCUAACUACGUGCCAGCAGCCGCGGUAAUACGUAGGGAGCAAGCGUUGUCCGGAUUUACUGGGUGUAAAGGGUGCGUAGGCGGCUUAGCAAGUCAGGCGUGAAAACUAUGGGCUUAACCCAUAGACUGCGUUUGAAACUGUUGAGCUUGAGUGAAGUAGAGGUAGGCGGAAUUCCCGGUGUAGCGGUGAAAUGCGUAGAGAUCGGGAGGAACACCAGUGGCGAAGGCGGCCUACUGGGCUUUAACUGACGCUGAGGCACGAAAGCAUGGGUAGCAAACAGGAUUAGAUACCCUGGUAGUCCAUGCUGUAAACGAUGAUUACUAGGUGUGGGGGGUCUGACCCCUUCCGUGCCGGAGUUAACACAAUAAGUAAUCCACCUGGGGAGUACGACCGCAAGGUUGAAACUCAAAGGAAUUGACGG
This 899-nucleotide ribosomal RNA is filed under the name uncultured bacterium. Its description in RNAcentral is "bacterial SSU rRNA". It matches the Rfam family "Bacterial small subunit ribosomal RNA", at positions 8 to 916 of the family's 1533-position model. The record is from RNAcentral.